RNAcentral lists this ribosomal RNA (254 nucleotides) under uncultured bacterium. RNAcentral describes it as "partial 16S ribosomal RNA". It matches the Rfam family "Bacterial small subunit ribosomal RNA", at positions 524 to 776 of the family's 1533-position model. The record is from RNAcentral.
UACGUAGGGUGCGAGCGUUGUCCGGAAUUAUUGGGCGUAAAGAGCUCGUAGGCGGUGUGUCGCGUCGGCCGUGAAAACCUGCAGCUUAACUGUGGGCUUGCGGUCGGUACGGGCAUCACUGGAGUUCGGCAGGGGAGACUGGAAUUCCUGGUGUAGCGGUGAAAUGCGCAGAUAUCAGGAGGAACACCGGUGGCGAAGGCGGGUCUCUGGGCCGAUACUGACGCUGAGGAGCGAAAGCGUGGGGAGCGAACAGG